RNAcentral lists this long non-coding RNA (459 nucleotides) under Nicotiana benthamiana. Its description in RNAcentral is "long non-coding RNA (NBEN_LNC002270)". Lineage: Eukaryota; Viridiplantae; Streptophyta; Magnoliopsida; Solanales; Solanaceae. The record is from RNAcentral.
AUGUUAUGCUCACUGAUAUAUAUUAUAUUAGAACUCUAGUAUAUUAUGUUAGAAUUUCAGUAUAUUAUGCUGGAGUAUUUUUUGGAUUUUGAACAGUGUUUUCGUUUAUAUUUAUCUUUACAUGAAAAGUGGCUAAAUUUUGAUUACUUUUAAAAUUGUGGGUAUUUUUAAAUGACCACUUAUAAAUCUGGCCGUUUUUGAAUUUCUGUAUUCUCACAACUAUUGCUUUCACUCUCUCUUCUUCUUACAUCUUCUACAUAUGCUUCAAGGGGCAGAAUAUUUUCUGCUUCUGCCCCUGUGUCACCUGGUUGCAAUAUAAGAAAAUUAAAAAGUAGAAGUCCACCAUUGAAGGCCAUUCAAAGCUUUGCUUUCGAAAAUUUAAUUUUUUGAGUUUUUUUGUUGUUUGGGUUAGAAGUUGUUCUAGUUGAUUGCAAAUAUUAAAAGGGGUUCAAGAUUUAA